This 433-nucleotide unclassified non-coding RNA is filed under the name soil metagenome. RNAcentral describes it as "partial contains 5.8S ribosomal RNA, internal transcribed spacer 2, and large subunit ribosomal RNA". The stretch from base 1 to 120 matches the Rfam family "5.8S ribosomal RNA", at positions 35 to 154 of the family's 154-position model. The record is from RNAcentral.
GAUGAAGAACGUAGUGAAAUGCGAUACGUAAUGUGAAUUGCAGAAUUCAGUGAAUCAUCGAAUCUUUGAACGCAUAUUGCGCUCUCUGGUAUUCCGGAGAGCAUGCUUGUUUGAGUAUCAGUAAACACCUCAACUCCCUUUUCUUUUUUGAAAUGGGAGCUGGACUUGAGUGAUCCCAACACUUUUCUCACUGGAAAGUGGCGGGUCACUUGAAAUGCAGGUGCAGCUGGACUUUUCUCUGAGCUAUAAGCAUAUCUAUUUAGUCUGCCUAAAAAACAGAUUAUUACCUUUGCUGCAGCUAACAUAAAGGAGAUGAGUUCUUGUGCUGACUGAUGCAGGAUUCACAGAGACAGCUUUGCGGCUGACUUUGUAAACUCGAUCUCAAAUCAAGUAAGACUACCCGCUGAACUUAAGCAUAUCAAUAAGCGGAGGA